Molecule: small RNA, 164 nt
Filed under: Chelonoidis abingdonii (Abingdon island giant tortoise)
Lineage: Eukaryota; Metazoa; Chordata; Testudines; Testudinidae
Description: TUC338 (ENSCABG00000006714.1)
Source: RNAcentral
UUGACAGUCUUGAAGACAAAUGCUAUCUCUUUCUCCACAGAACAGCCAUAGGCAGUACAGGCUUCCCCACAUCAUCAUGCCCACACUCUUCAACUUUGUCAUUGAGAACACUUCUAGACGUGAGAGAAUAGUUCAGUCUCCAUGCAUGUCAGUCCUUGGGCUCU